AACAGUUGCAAAGAGUUGUCACGUCAUCGAUCCGUGUCUCACCAUUUUUUUACUCCACUUUCUCACCCUUUCACUUCCCUUUCUCUUUCAGAUUCACCGACUUUCAAAAUUUUGCUCUCUUCCACCAAACCUUGCUGUACGUGGGACACCAGCGUCGAUUCUCCAUGACCAUGGCUACAACUGGAAGCCUCCAAGGCUCACACGACCACCACCGGCGGUGCUUGCUGGCCUGACCUUCUCCUCUCUUUAGGUCUCUGUUUUUUCGCUCUCUCAAGUCCAGCCGUGGCCAAGCUUCUUGGUUGCACCGCGACACCACCAUUUCUGUCAAGAAGCAAGAGCCGCACCAACUAUAACUUAAUGAGCAAGUCAUGCCAUUUAAGGUUGUAGAAGAACUUGAUCUUGAAGCUUACAAGACCUUCUUCUUCUUCUUUUCUUUUGUGGGAUUUAUGUAUUAUGAAUAUAUGGUGAUGGGAAGAUUUGUUUCUUGUUAAAGUGUAUAUUUCAACAAAACUAUUGUUAUAUGGCCUUGUGGUCAAAGUGUACAUUCUAAUAAAAAAAAAUUCAUUUUUAGAACAACUUAA
Long non-coding RNA from Quercus lobata, 581 nucleotides. RefSeq lists it as uncharacterized. The record is from RefSeq and is a predicted model, not a curated record. The transcript has 2 exons. NCBI's taxonomy places the organism in Eukaryota, Viridiplantae, Streptophyta, Magnoliopsida, Fagales, Fagaceae.